GCGCCUGUAGCUCAGAUGGAUAGAGCGGUUGCCUCCGGAGCAACAGGUCGCAGGUUCGAGCCCUGCCAGGCGUACCA
This 77-nucleotide transfer RNA is filed under the name Terriglobia bacterium. RNAcentral describes it as "tRNA-Arg". It matches the Rfam family "tRNA". Rfam says of the family: Transfer RNA (tRNA) molecules are approximately 80 nucleotides in length. Their secondary structure includes four short double-helical elements and three loops (D, anti-codon, and T loops). Further hydrogen bonds mediate the characteristic L-shaped molecular structure. tRNAs have two regions of fundamental functional importance: the anti-codon, which is responsible for specific mRNA codon recognition, and the 3' end, to which the tRNAs corresponding amino acid is attached (by aminoacyl-tRNA synthetases). tRNAs cope with the degeneracy of the genetic code in two manners: having more than one tRNA (with a specific anti-codon) for a particular amino acid; and 'wobble' base-pairing, i.e. permitting non-standard base-pairing at the 3rd anti-codon position. Lineage: Bacteria; Pseudomonadati; Acidobacteriota; Terriglobia. The record is from RNAcentral.